GACGAACGCUGGCGGCGUGCUUAACACAUGCAAGUCGAACGGAAAGGCCCUGCUUUUGUGGGGUGCUCGAGUGGCGAACGGGUGAGUAACACGUGAGUAACCUGCCCUUGACUUUGGGAUAACUUCAGGAAACUGGGGCUAAUACCGGAUAGGAGCUACUGCUGCAUGGUGGGGGUUGGAAAGUUUCGGCGGUUGGGGCUGGACUAGCGGCUUAUCAGCUUGUUGGUGGGGUAGUGGCUUACCAAGGCUUUGACGGGUAGCCGGCCUGAGAGGGUGACCAGCCACAGUGGGACUGAGAUACGGCCCCGACUCCUACGGGAGGCAGCAGUGGGGAAUAUGGCACAAUGGGCGGAAGCCUGAUGCAGCACCGCCGCGUGCGGGAUGACGGCCUUCGGGUUGUAAACCGCUUUCGCCUGUGACGAAGCGUGAGUGACGGUAAUGGGUAGAGAAGCACCGGCUAACUACGUG
RNAcentral lists this ribosomal RNA (468 nucleotides) under uncultured bacterium. Its description in RNAcentral is "partial 16S ribosomal RNA". It matches the Rfam family "Bacterial small subunit ribosomal RNA", at positions 28 to 507 of the family's 1533-position model. The record is from RNAcentral.